This 1884-nucleotide ribosomal RNA is filed under the name metagenome. RNAcentral describes it as "bacterial LSU rRNA". It matches the Rfam family "Bacterial large subunit ribosomal RNA", at positions 3 to 1980 of the family's 2925-position model. The record is from RNAcentral.
UCAAGCGAACAAGGGCGCAGGGCGAAUGCCUUGGCACUGGGAGCCGAUGAAAGACGUGAUAAGCUGCGAUAAGCUUCGGGGAGCUGCAAAUAAGCAUUGAUCCGGAGAUUUCUGAAUGAGGAAACUCACCUGGGUUCAUACUCAGGUACGUUAUACUGAACUUAAAAAUAGGUAUAUCGAGGGAACCGCCUGAACUGAAACAUCUAAGUAGGGCGAGGAAGAGACAUCAAACGAGAUUCCGUAAGUAGUGGCGAGCGAACGCGGAAGAGGGCAAACCGGGAGUAGAAAUACUUCCGGGGUACGGACCGCAUUUAGGACUUAAGUUGUUAACCGAACGGCAUGGGAAGGCCGGUCAGAGAGUGUGAGAACCACGUAGGUGAAAACGACAAGAGCUGAGCGAGUUCCAGAGUACGGCCAGACACGUGAAACCUGGUCGGAAUAUGGGGGGACCACCCUCCAACCCUAAAUACUACCCAGUGACCGAUAGCGUAUAGUACUGUGAAGGAAAGGUGAAAAGCACCCCGGGAGGGGAGUGAAAAAGAACCUGAAACCCUGUGCCUACAAGCACCUAGAGCACGUCAAUGUGUGAUAGGGUACUUUUUGUAGAACGGUCCGGCGAGCGAUUGUAUGCAGCAAGGUUAAGGACUUAAGGUCUGGAGCCGAAGCGAAAGCGAGUUUGAAAAGGGCGUUAAGUUGCAUACAAUGGGCCCGAAACCGGGUGACCUACCCAUGGUCAGGUUGAAGUGGAAGUAAAAUUCCAUGGAGGACCGAACCGACCUCCGUUGAAAAGGCGGCGGAUGAACUGUGGGUAGCGGAGAAAUUCCAAUCGAACCCGGAGAUAGCUGGUUCUCCCCGAAAUAGUUUUAGGACUAGCCUCAAGUUAGAUACCUGGAGGUAAAGCACUGAAUAGCCUAGCGGCCGAGAGGUUAGCGAAGCUUAUCAAACUCAGAAUGCCAGAGUAUUGAUGCUUGGGAGUCAGACAGUGUCAGAUAAAUGUCAUUGUCAAAAGGGAAACAGCCCAGAUCUACAGCUAAGGUCCCAAAGUCAGGUUAAGUGGAAAACGAUGUGAAGAUACGCAGACAACCAGGAUGUUGGCUCAGAAGCAGCCACUCAUUCAAAGAGUGCGUAAUAGCUCACUGGUCGAGCGUCUUUGCGCGGAGAAUUUAACGGGGCUAAACCUGACACCGAAGCUUAGGCAAUACAGUAAUGUAUUGGGUAGGGGAGCGUUGUAUACGCGGUGAAACAGUAGCGCAAGCGGCUGUGGAGUGUAUAGAAGUGAGAAUGCCGGAAUGAGUAGCGCGAAUGCAGUGAGAAUCUGCAUGGCCGAAAGCCUCAGGUUUCUGGAGGAAGGUUCGUCCGCUCCAGGUUAGUCGGGAGCUAAGGUGAGGCCUAACGGCGUAGCCGAUGCACAGACGGUAGAGAUUCCGUCACCACCAAAAGAGUUAAGCACAGGGACACAUAUGAAGUCUCAGAGCCGGGUGUUGGUUCCGGUAGAGAUCGAGGGAAAUUAGUACCGAAGUCUGGGAUGGAAGAUGGCGAGAAAAGCUGUGUGUAUUUCUGAGGUGCCCGUACCGCAAACCGACACAGGUAGGUAGGAAGAAGAUUCUAAGGCCAACGGGAGAAGGGUUGUUAAGGAACUCGGCAAAUUGACCCCGUAACUUCGGGAGAAGGGGUGCUCCAGAGAUGGAGCCGCAGAGAAUCGGCCCAAGCAACUGUUUACCAAAAACACAGGUUUGUGCUAAAUCGAAAGAUGACGUAUACGAGCUGACGCCUGCCCGGUGCUGGAAGGUUAAGAGGAGAUGUGCAAGCAUUGAAUCGAAGCCCCAGUGAACGGCGGCCGUAACUAUAACGGUCCUAAGGUAGCGAAAUUCCUUGUCAGGUAAG